CCAGCUCUUAAGAGUAGUGAUGUGGCUGCUGUGUCACAUGUGUGUCAGUUGGUGCCUGAGAGGAGAGAGACGAUGUCUACGCUCAGUGUUCUGACCUGUGAACAUCUGAAAGGUUGGAAGCUUAGCACU
Molecule: small nucleolar RNA, 129 nt
Organism: Mastomys coucha (southern multimammate mouse)
Lineage: Eukaryota; Metazoa; Chordata; Mammalia; Rodentia; Muridae
Product: small nucleolar RNA SNORA17
Exons: 1
Source: RefSeq, a predicted model, not a curated record